CUUCUAGAGAUGAGAUUAGGCUGAGAGCCCACUGGGAAGCUUUGGGUUCUGCUUGGCACUUAGUGUACCCUGGAUGCUGGGUAAAUGCUAAUUACUGGUGAUGAUAACAAGGCAUAUAAAACCAGCUGUUCAUGUUUCAUGCUGUUCAGCUUCCCUCUUAGGGGAGGGGCCAGAGCAGCAUGAAGCAGACAGGGUGGCCACUUCCCUGUUUAAUGCAGGGCUCCUUGGGUGCUGUCUGUAGCUGUCCAUUACAAUUUGAAUAAUCCAUUGUACUAAGAAUAGAGGAACUAAUUGAAUUUCUACAGGGCUCCUAGGAGCUACAGUAACUCACUUUAGGAUGAUACAGUUACCUGCAAUUGUCUUGCUAGAAAAUGAAGAACAAUUUGGCAACUGUGAUUCCCUGCCCUGAAUCUGUUGUUCCUAUUUUGUUUUUAACUCUUCGGAGUGAAAUUCCUCUCCCUGGGCCUCCCAUCUCUGGAUAAAAGUGGUGCAGACUCUAAGGAAACUCAAGAUCGCAACAUUGACUACUGCUACAAUUUCCAACCUACCAGACUGUAAAAUUUGGACCUAGAAGCUCCCACAAUUACAUGAGUUAAUUACUUAAAAACAAAACAAAAUAAAACAAAACUUCUAUCUAUA
Long non-coding RNA from Marmota flaviventris (yellow-bellied marmot), 639 nucleotides. RefSeq lists it as uncharacterized. Lineage: Eukaryota; Metazoa; Chordata; Mammalia; Rodentia; Sciuridae. The record is from RefSeq and is a predicted model, not a curated record.